UUGCUUUGGCAACACAUAUACUAAAAUUGGAAUGAUACAGAAAAGAUUAGCAUGGCCCCUGUGCAAGGAAGACACACAAAUUUGUGAAGCAUUUCAUUGUUUU
Molecule: small nuclear RNA, 103 nt
Organism: Panthera pardus (leopard)
Lineage: Eukaryota; Metazoa; Chordata; Mammalia; Carnivora; Felidae
Source: Ensembl